UUUACAUGUAUUAAUUUACAACAACUCUGAGGCAGGAGCUGUGAUUACGCCCAUUUAACAGAUGACAAAACUGAGGCACAAAGCAGUGCUGGAACUUCUCAAAGUCACACAGGUAGCAGGAGGCAGAGCUCGGAUUUGAACUCACUUUGGGUUCAGCAACUCACAGCUCUCACCUAUGACAUAAUAUUACUUCUGUUGUCAAAACACUUAGACCUGGAUUUCACAGGAAUCUUGUGCUUGCCUGGCUGCUAGGGAGGUUUUCAUCAUCUUCCUUAUCUCACAGUUCAAAACCCAGGGCCUCCAUGCUCUUGCUCUGGUGACCGUUCACUGGCAGGAGGCUUCUGGGAAGGUUCUCCUUUUCUGUCAUUUUUCUUAUUCGUGGUUUUUUGUUUCAUUGGUGUUUAUCUGCAGAACUUUGUUUCCUUCUGCUCAAUUCAUAAUCAGAGUGCUUUUCCUCCUGGCUCAAUUCAUAAGUGUUUAUGUAAAAAGAGGUUGGGCACAGAGCCAGGCGACUGAGGACACCCGGCUCAUCUGGCAAGUGGAUAUCAAAUUGUUGUAUCUCGUUCUGCCAUUCCCGGCUCCUGCUGUGGGGCUGGGUCAUCUGCCAGCUCUCCAAGGAGCUGGUGGGAAACCACUGCAAUCAGAGCGAACCGCUGCCCGGGUGAGCCCGCCUAGGCACAGCACUCCAGCUGCCCCCAGUGCCUUUUGGGGACACAUCUGCAUUGCCAGUAAUGCUGCCAGAACCCAUCAAGACACCCAGGAACUGAUGUGCCUUGGCAGAUGAUGCUGGAAAGAUGGGAUUCCCGGCAGCCCUUGCAUCUGUUGCUCACAGCCCACAAGCAUCUCCACUGUCCAGCAGGCAGAGAGCUGAUCAAAACAGCAAAAGCAAAGCAGUGCCCCUGGCCCAGUUCUGAAGCCAACCUUCCUUAAUCACCCAGACCCAUCCCUGGUUAGGACUUGCUGUGGAUUCUCACGUGACUCCAUCUCAGGCUACAGGGACUGAGAGGGUGUAUGCAACAUCUCAGACCCAGAAACCGUUGAUUCUGCCUAAAAACACAGCAAUAACCACAUCUCAUCCUCUUGAUUUAAAUGAAAGGGUAUGGGGGAAUAAAAGAUGAACCUUUUUUUUUCUUUGUCAGAUCUUGCGCUCAUUUGGUUCUGGUGGGGAACAACAGCUAUAAGAGAACAAGUGUAUUCAAUUAGAA
RNAcentral lists this long non-coding RNA (1205 nucleotides) under Homo sapiens (human). RNAcentral describes it as "PREDICTED lncRNA (TCONS_00195793)". Lineage: Eukaryota; Metazoa; Chordata; Mammalia; Primates; Hominidae. The record is from RNAcentral.